AGUGAACGCUGGCGGCAGGCCUAAUACAUGCAAGUCGAACGGCAGCACGGCAGAGCUUGCUCUGUGGGUGGCGAGUGGCGGACGGGUGAGGAAUACAUGGGAAUCUGCCCAGUCGUGGGGGAUAACGUAGGGAAACUUACGCUAAUACCGCAUGCGCCCUUCGGGGGAAAGCCGGGGACCUUCGGGCCUGGCGCGAUUGGAUGAGCCCAUGUCGGAUUAGCUAGUUGGCGGGGUAAUGGCCCACCAAGGCGACGAUCCGUAGCUGGUCUGAGAGGAUGAUCAGCCACACUGGAACUGAGACACGGUCCAGACUCCUACGGGAGGCAGCAGUAGGGAAUAUUGGACAAUGGGCGCAGGCCUGAUCCAGCCAUGCCGCGUGAGUGAAGAAGGCCCUCGGGUUGUAAAGCUCUUUUGUCCGGAAAGAAAAGCGCCGGGUUAAUACCCUGGUGUCCUGACGGUACCGGAAGAAUAAGCACCGGCUAACUUCGUGCCAGCAGCCG
Molecule: ribosomal RNA, 500 nt
Filed under: uncultured bacterium
Lineage: Bacteria
Description: bacterial SSU rRNA
Rfam family: Bacterial small subunit ribosomal RNA
Source: RNAcentral